This 117-nucleotide ribosomal RNA is filed under the name Candidatus Microgenomates bacterium. Lineage: Bacteria; Candidatus Microgenomatota. The record is from RNAcentral.
UUCGGUCUCCAAAGCGGCGUGGCAACACCGCUUCCCAUUCCGAACAGAUGGGUGAAACACGCUAGCGUCGACGAUAGUUGUUCUGCAAGGAACCGCGAAAAUAGGUCGAGGCCGGGG